This 737-nucleotide ribosomal RNA is filed under the name uncultured Methanomicrobiaceae archaeon. RNAcentral describes it as "bacterial SSU rRNA". It matches the Rfam family "Archaeal small subunit ribosomal RNA", at positions 85 to 827 of the family's 1478-position model. Lineage: Archaea; Methanobacteriati; Methanobacteriota; Methanomicrobia; Methanomicrobiales; Methanomicrobiaceae. The record is from RNAcentral.
ACGGCUCAGUAACACGUGGACAACCUACCCUAUGGAGGGGGAUAACCCCGGGAAACUGGGGAUAAUACCCCAUAGACUAUGGAUGCUGGAAUGCUCUGUAGCCAAAAGGUCAGCCGCCAUAGGGUGGGUCUGCGGCCGAUUAGGUAGUUGUUGGGGUAACGGCCCAACAAGCCUGUAAUCGGUACGGGUUGUGGGAGCAAGAGCCCGGAGAUGGAUUCUGAGACACGAAUCCAGGCCCUACGGGGCGCAGCAGGCGCGAAAACUUUACAAUGCGGGAAACCGUGAUAAGGGAACUCCGAGUGCCCGUUAAAUCGGGCUGUCCAUCUGUGUAAAUAACAGGUGAAGAAAGGGCCGGGCAAGACCGGUGCCAGCCGCCGCGGUAAUACCGGCGGCUCGAGUGGUGGCCACUAUUACUGGGCUUAAAGCGUUCGUAGCUGGUUUGUUAAGUCUCUGGGGAAAUCUUCCGGCUUAACCGGAAGGCGUCUCAGGGAUACUGGCAGACUAGGGACCGGAAGAGGUGAGGGGUACUCCAGGGGUAGGAGUGAAAUCCUGUAAUCCUUGGGGGACCACCUGUGGCGAAGGCGCCUCACCAGAACGGCUCCGACAGUGAGGGACGAAAGCUGGGGGAGCAAACCGGAUUAGAUACCCGGGUAGUCCCAGCCGUAAACGAUGUGCGUUAGGUGUAUCGGUGACCACGAGUCACCGAGGUGCCGAAGAGAAAUCGUGAAACGUACCGC